UUACGGCCAUAUCAUUUUGAAACACGGGUUCUCGUAAAAUCACUGAAGUUAAGCAACGUCAAGUCUGAUCAGUACCUAGAUGGGUGAUCGCUUGGGAAUACCAGGUGAUGUAGG
This is a non-coding RNA of Acanthosepion pharaonis, 114 nucleotides long. NCBI's taxonomy places the organism in Eukaryota, Metazoa, Mollusca, Cephalopoda, Sepiida, Sepiidae. The record is from the annotation of a GenBank genome assembly.